RNAcentral lists this long non-coding RNA (419 nucleotides) under Trifolium pratense (red clover). RNAcentral describes it as "long non-coding RNA (TPRA_LNC002849)". Lineage: Eukaryota; Viridiplantae; Streptophyta; Magnoliopsida; Fabales; Fabaceae. The record is from RNAcentral.
UUUUUCAUGAUUAAUGGCUCUUUAUUUUUUGAAGAAAACUCAAUUAUUUUUGUGAGUCUCUUGUUAUUAUUAUCAUUUUUUUAUUUUUUUUUAAGUUCUCUAGUACCCCUACCCCAAACUUAAGAUGUUGCUAAUUCCAAAAGCAACCCCAAACUUAAAAUGUUGCCAUGACAAGAAAAUUUAAAGCUUCUACCUAACUCCAAGGAGGGCAAACAGAUAAAAAAUUUCAGGUCUAAAAGGCUUAUAAUUUGGUAUGUCACCGAAAGAAAAGGGGAAUAUGUUUUAUUUUUUUUUUUAGGCUCAAAUUGGUUUAGUAACGGAUAAAUAAUAAACAGGGUAGCUUGAAAAGGCUCAGAGUACCAAACAAAUGUGCCUCCAUGUGUGUAAAUGCAAAACCAAUCAACAGUAGAGAAUAGUCG